GGGUGAUUAGCUCAGCUGGGAGAGCACCUAGGGGGUCGGCGGUUCGAUCCCGUCAUCACCCACCA
This 65-nucleotide transfer RNA is filed under the name Escherichia coli. RNAcentral's name for it is "tRNA-OTHER". It matches the Rfam family "tRNA". Rfam says of the family: Transfer RNA (tRNA) molecules are approximately 80 nucleotides in length. Their secondary structure includes four short double-helical elements and three loops (D, anti-codon, and T loops). The record is from RNAcentral. Lineage: Bacteria; Pseudomonadati; Pseudomonadota; Gammaproteobacteria; Enterobacterales; Enterobacteriaceae.